UCAGGAUGAACGCUAGCUACAGGCUUAACACAUGCAAGUCGAGGGCAGCAUGAGCUUAGCUUGCUAAGCUGAUGGCGACGGCGCACGGUGAGUAACGCGUAUCCAACUUCCCCUUAGUAGGGCAUAGCCCGGUGAAAAUCGGAUUAAUACCCUAUGUUCUUCACAGCGGACAUCUAACGUGAAGCAAAGGUUCACCGCUAAGGGAUGGGGAUGCGUCUGAUUAGGUAGUCGGCGGGUAACGGCCACCGAGCCAUCGAUCAGUAGGGGUUCUGAGAGGAAGGUCCCCCACAUUGGAACUGAGACACGGUCCAAACUCCUACGGGAGGCAGCAGUGAGGAAUAUUGGUCAAUGGUCGAGAGACUGAACCAGCCAAGUAGCGUGCAGGAUGACGGCCCUAUGGGUUGUAAACUGCUUUUAUGCGGGGAUAAAGUCACCCACGUGUGGGUGUUUGCAGGUACCGCAUGAAUAAGGACCGGCUAAUUCCGUGCCAGCCGCCGC
This 498-nucleotide ribosomal RNA is filed under the name uncultured bacterium. Its description in RNAcentral is "bacterial SSU rRNA". It matches the Rfam family "Bacterial small subunit ribosomal RNA", at positions 24 to 518 of the family's 1533-position model. The record is from RNAcentral.